This 468-nucleotide ribosomal RNA is filed under the name uncultured bacterium. Its description in RNAcentral is "partial 16S ribosomal RNA". It matches the Rfam family "Bacterial small subunit ribosomal RNA", at positions 28 to 507 of the family's 1533-position model. The record is from RNAcentral.
GACGAACGCUGGCGGCGUGCUUAACACAUGCCAGUCGAACGGAAAGGCCCUGCUUUUGUGGGGUGCUCGAGUGGCGAACGGGUGAGUAACACGUGAGUAACCUGCCCUUGACUUUGGGAUAACUUCAGGAAACUGGGGCUAAUACCGGAUAGGAGCUCCUGCUGCAUGGUGGGGGUUGGAAAGUUUCGGCGGUUGGGGAUGGACUCGCGGCUUAUCAGCUUGUUGGUGGGGUAAUGGCUUACCAAGGCUUUGACGGGUAGCCGGCCUGAGAGGGUGACCGGCCACAUUGGGACUGAGAGACGGCCCAGACUCCUACGGGAGGCAGCAGUGGAGAAUAUUGCACAAUGGGCGGAAGCCUGAUGCAGCAACGCCGCGUGCGGGAUGACGGCCUUCGGGUUGUAAACCGCUUUCGCCUGUGACGAAGCGUGAGUGACGGUAAUGGGUAAAGAAGCACCGGCUAACUACGUG